This 376-nucleotide ribosomal RNA is filed under the name Panulirus marginatus. RNAcentral describes it as "partial 12S ribosomal RNA". The record is from RNAcentral. Lineage: Eukaryota; Metazoa; Arthropoda; Malacostraca; Decapoda; Palinuridae.
AGAUACCCUGUUACACUAGACAAUAAUAAUGAAAUAUGGCUGGAGUAUUUAUAAUUAAUUUGUUUGAAAUUCAAAGAACCUGGCGGUACUUUAGUCUAGUUAGAGGAACCUGUUGUAUAAACGAUAAACCACGUAGAAUCUUUCUUAUUCUUGUAUAGUUAGUAUACCUUCAUUGUUAGAUAAUUUUAUAUAUGAAUUAUUGAAAUCGAGGAAAUCAAGUAUAUUAGAUCAAGGUGCUGCUAAUGAGUAAGUAUAAAUGGGUUACAAUAUUUUAAAAGAGGCCGAUUAUGUCGAGAAAUCCGGUAUAUGAGGAUGGAUUUAAUUGUAAGUUUAAAUUUAGUAAGGUAAAGUGAUAAUAGCUCUAAAGUGUGUACAU